RNAcentral lists this ribosomal RNA (1245 nucleotides) under metagenome. RNAcentral describes it as "bacterial LSU rRNA". It matches the Rfam family "Bacterial large subunit ribosomal RNA", at positions 1564 to 2818 of the family's 2925-position model. The record is from RNAcentral.
CGAGUACGAGACGCUAAGGCGUCGAAGUAGUGUAUGUCAGACUUCCAAGAAAAGCUCGCAAUGCCAUAUGAUAAAAAAUGCCUGUACCAUAACCGACACAGGUGGGUAGGUAGAGUAUACUAAGGGGCGCGAGAUAACUCUCUCUAAGGAACUCGGCAAAAUAACUCCGUAACUUCGGGAGAAGGAGUGCCUUAUCCUAUAAGGUUGCAAUAACAAGAUCCAAGCAACUGUUUAUCAAAAACACAGGUCUCCGCUAAGUCGUAAGACGAUGUAUGGGGGCUGACGCCUGCCCAGUGCCAGAAGGUUAAAGAAGUCGGUUAGCAUUAGCGAAGCUGGUAACUGAAGCCCUGGUGAACGGCGGCCGUAACAAUAACGGUCCUAAGGUAGCGAAAUUCCUUGUCGGGUAAGUUCCGACCCGCACGAAAGGCGUAAUGAUUUGGAUACUGUCUCGGAGAGGGGCUCGGUGAAAUAGACUUGUCUGUGAAGAUGCGGACUACCUGCACCAGGACAGAAAGACCCUAUGAAGCUCUACUGUAACUUGAAAUUGAAAUUGGACUUUAUUCGCGCAGUAUAGGUGGAGGCGUUGAUUAUAAUCUUGCGGGAUUAUUGGAGCCAUCAGUGAGAUACCACUCUUGUAAUGUUAGAUUUCUAACUUUGAAUCAUUAUCUGGUCAAAGGACAGCUUCAGGCGGGCAGUUUGACUGGGGCGGUCGCCUCCUAAACGGUAACGGAGGCGUACAAAGGUUUCCUCUGAACGGGUAGAAAUCGUAUCUAGAGUGUAAAGGCAUAAGGAAGCUUGACUGUGAGACCUACAAGUCGAGCAGGGACGAAAGUCGGUCUUAGUGAUCUGACGGUACUGAGUGGAAAGGCCGUCACUCAACGGAUAAAAGUUACUCUAGGAUAACAGGCUGAUCUCCCCCAAGAGUUCACAUCGACGGGGAGGUUUGGCACCUCGAUGUCGGCUCAUCGCAUCCUGGGGCGGUAGUACGUCCCAAGGGUUGGGCUGUUCGCCCAUGAAAGCGGUACGCGAGCUGGGUUCAGAACGUCGUGAGACAGUUCGGUCCAUAUCCGGUGUAGGCGUUAGAAUAUUGAGAGGAGCCUUCUUUAGUACGAGAGGACCGAGAAGGACAUACCUCUGGUGUACCAGUUAUCGUGCCAACGGUAAACGCUGGGUAGCUAUGUAUGGAGUGGAUAACCGCUGAAAGCAUCUAAGUGGGAAGCCCACCUCAAGAUAAGUAUUCUCAUA